GGGAAUUUUCCCCCAUGGACGAAAGUCUGACGGAGCAACGCCGCGUGAGAUGAUGAAGGUUCUUCGGAUCGUAAAACUCUGUUGUGUAGGGAAGAACAAGUACCGUUCGAAUAGGGCGGUACCUUGACGGUACCUAACCAAAAAGCCACGGUUAAUUACUUG
Molecule: ribosomal RNA, 162 nt
Filed under: uncultured bacterium
Lineage: Bacteria
Description: partial 16S ribosomal RNA
Rfam family: Bacterial small subunit ribosomal RNA
Source: RNAcentral